This is a long non-coding RNA of Thunnus maccoyii (southern bluefin tuna), 617 nucleotides long. RefSeq lists it as uncharacterized. NCBI's taxonomy places the organism in Eukaryota, Metazoa, Chordata, Actinopteri, Scombriformes, Scombridae. The transcript has 3 exons. The record is from RefSeq and is a predicted model, not a curated record.
UAGAGUCCUCAGCACGUUACGUAAAGAGUCGGUCACAUAGUGCUCUUUGGGCAACAUUUAGGAGGAAAACCCAUGAUUUCGUGGUCCUGUAGAUGUCUACCCGGAGAGAUAACGUGUUUGCCCGGGGUAAAACCAAUGUAUAAAACCAAUAUUUAUACAAACUGCGGCAGGUAACUGCCCUGGCUAGCCAUAUCAGUAACGCUAAGCUAUUUGUCUAUGAGCUAACGUUAGCUAGCGCAGCGUAGAGGAAGAGCAGAGCUGAGAGGCUCAUUUCUUUAGAAAAAAAAAACAGGGUUUAAACGUCGAUGUUGCCCCGUACAAAAAAAGUAUCACACUGGCCACUUAAUAGACAACAAUUAGAUCAAGACAAUACCUUUGAAGGUAAAGUUUGUAAGAAAAAAGUUUUGACUUACGCCCCCUUGGUUUGCUUACGGAACGCUAUGAGGCCGUAAGCUCAACUGAAGUGCGGAGGUGACUCUCGCCAUUUCUGUAGGGAAGACGUCAGUAUUUCAACCGCCAAAACAGGUGACCAAGCUGUGCCUGCGUUGUGAUUGGAUCUCAAUGUGAAAAUCAGCAAAGCUGAGCUGACGGACUUGUCGACAAAGAUACAUCACACC